AUGAGCUCUAUAAGUAACUUGGAGGUGUCUCAUCCAGAGGGAAUGGAAAAGAGCUACAUAAAUAUUGCAAUUCAAAAAAGAAAAAAGAUUUACCAAGAGAGACAAGAUGUGAAUAUAACUGCAUAUAUAAAAGUUAUACUACUGGAAACCAGUAUACUGGAAAAUGGAAAAAAGAUUUGGUACCUGCAUACCUAAGAACAUAACUAAUGGAACAAGAUGUCAUAUUCUCCACUAGCUGAAGUUUCCAUGUGAUCUUCAACAGUAGCCCCACACAGAGUGCACCAGUGUCGUCCAGCAGCUCCCACUGGCCCAGAGCAGCAAACCGCGGCCACGGGGAGCAGCGAUCAGCCGAACCUGCGGACGUGGCAGGUAAACAAACCGGCCCAGCGCGUUAGGGGCUUUCCCUGCACAAGCGGCGGAACAAGUUUGGGAACCACUGGUAUAGUGGACUGACCUCUCAUCUCACCCUUAAAGUGGCUCCUCCCAGUCAGACUCAAGACACAUUGGCAAGGAAUUCUGGGGAGAGGGGCCUUCACCAGCGAGCAUGCCCAGUGCCACUACACACAUACACAGAUUAGACAGGCAAACAGAAGCAGGUGGGUGAGGAGGAAGAAAGCUUUAUUCAUACAAGUAUCUGCAACAGCAGCAGAGAGGAAAGAAACCUUGCACGGUGCUUUCUUUACCCUCGUGUGUCGUCGUCCCCGGAUCUUCUGCUCCCAGUACCAGCCCUGCCUCUAGGACUGAGCCCCUCCUACCCAGCCCAUAGGAGUUUUUUUAAGCGCAAGAUCACUUUCUGAAUUUAAGUGCAACCCAAGAUCUACCCUGCCCCUUCCCUGAGGCCUUGCCCUGCUCACUCCAUCCCCCCUCCCCCCAUCGCUUGUUCUCUCCAACCCUCACUCACAGUUUCACCGAGCUGGGGAAGGGGGUACUGGAGGGGGUGCGGGCUUUGGAGUGUGGAGGGGGCUCCGGGCUGAGCCUGGGCAGGGGUACAGGAGGGGAUGAGUGUGAAAGCUCUGGGACAGACUUUGGGUGCAGGA
Molecule: non-coding RNA, 1037 nt
Organism: Caretta caretta (loggerhead turtle)
Lineage: Eukaryota; Metazoa; Chordata; Testudines; Cheloniidae
Source: RefSeq, a predicted model, not a curated record